GAAAAUCCUAUAAAUAGCAUCUGCCCGUAUCUCUCAGUCUCUCCCUCCAUGGCUCGAAUCCUCUCGCAAACCCUAAUCAGAUCCUCUUCAUCCUCAUUUUUCCCUUCCCCAAAUUGCCCUUCUAUCUCGCCUCCUACUUCUCGCCUCCUAAAUCUCCGAAACCGAUCGAAUCAGUCGGAUAAGUCGCAUCUGAUCGAGGUCGAUCUCGAUCCCGACGGAUCUGAUGGAGAAAUGCUUGGCAUGCGCAGGCUCGAGGACGCCAUCCACCGCAUAAUCGUCCGUCGAUCAGCGCCGGACUGGCUCCCAUUUAUGCCCGGCUCCUCGUACUGGAUUCCGCCUCGGAAGCGGCCACACAGCAUUUCUGAAUUGGUCGGAAGGCUGGCCAAUCCGCUGUCGGAGGAGGAAGCGAUGUCUCUGACGACGGUACGAGGCUGGCCUUCGUCGGCGUACUUCAUAGAAGGAGAGAUUAAAGAGGUGGAUCAAGGACAGAUUGAAGAGGUGGCUCAAGGUGAGUUGGGAAAUCCUUUUCUUGGGCACUUCUUGAAAUCCCUGGGGUAGUAAUAGUUUCAAGUUCCGAUCAGUAACAGAGCUGCGUAGAACAAGUUUCAUAGAACUUUUUGCUGCAGGCACAUCUCCAAAUCCUGUGAAGAAAAAAUCAACGAAGAAAACUUCAAAUUCUGAGGAUGAAGGAUGAGUUAUCUCCGAUAGAAUGGCUUUGCGGGUCAACAAUGAUGAGGAGCUGUACAGUUGAAGUUGAUGGUUUUACAAUAGCUCGUGCCCUAUUAAAAGGAAGAAAAAAAGAAGAAAAAAAGAAAAAGAAAAA
Molecule: RNA transcript, 823 nt
Organism: Magnolia sinica
Lineage: Eukaryota; Viridiplantae; Streptophyta; Magnoliopsida; Magnoliales; Magnoliaceae
Exons: 5
Source: RefSeq, a predicted model, not a curated record